RNAcentral lists this long non-coding RNA (748 nucleotides) under Ananas comosus (pineapple). Its description in RNAcentral is "long non-coding RNA (ACOM_LNC020686)". The record is from RNAcentral. Lineage: Eukaryota; Viridiplantae; Streptophyta; Magnoliopsida; Poales; Bromeliaceae.
UCGCAUCUGCAUUCCGGAUCUGCAAUGAUGAUGGUGAAAGAGGAGGAGGUUGGAGAGGAAAAGGCGAAAAACGGUAGAGAAUGAAGGAGAGAAGUAAUGAUGAUGACAUCGACAAUGACGGUGUCACGAAAAAAAAGAUGAGAGACGAGGAAGAGAGAAAAAGAGAAUGGAGAGGUAUUUUAGUCAUAUUUUUAAAAUCUAGUAUGAAUCUGCAAAAUUGCAAAAGAUAGUCCGAUAAGAUUGUAGAAAACCUAUGCCCAUCCAAAUAAAUAGUGCAGAAUAAUUCCACUAUUUAAUGCCCAGACUUCCGGCCAUGAGCCCCGUUGUUGUUGUUGCCAUUGAGGCCAUGUGUUGCUAGGUUUUCGACCUUGUGGUAGCCUCCACCUUCGAGUUUCACAUAGAGACGUGUCUCGGCUUCCUCAACCUUCGCUCCACAGUUGGCAGGAGGAACUCCUCCGAGAUCAUCACUCUUGCGUCUACAUUCCGGAUCCGUAACGAUGGCAGUGAAGGAGUGGAUGAGGAGGAGGUCGAGAGGAAGGGGCAAAAGGCAAUAAAGAAUGAGGAAGGAGAGGAAGGUAACAAUGAUGAUAUCGUGGGAAAAGAGAUGAGAGAGACAAGAAAGAUAGGAAGAAAAGAGAAUAAAGGGGCAUUAAAUCUGAUCCGAAUUUGUAAAAUUGCAAAAGAUAGUUCGAUAAAAUUAUCGAGAAACUACGCCUAUCCAAAUAGAUAAUAUCAUCGAGAUUAAUUU